RNAcentral lists this transfer RNA (71 nucleotides) under Anaplasma marginale. Its description in RNAcentral is "tRNA-Gly". It matches the Rfam family "tRNA". Rfam says of the family: Transfer RNA (tRNA) molecules are approximately 80 nucleotides in length. Their secondary structure includes four short double-helical elements and three loops (D, anti-codon, and T loops). Lineage: Bacteria; Pseudomonadati; Pseudomonadota; Alphaproteobacteria; Rickettsiales; Anaplasmataceae. The record is from RNAcentral. RNAcentral also lists the same sequence under 7 other names.
GCGGGUAUAACUCAGUGGUAGAGUAGCAGCCUUCCAAGCUGCCCGCGUGGGUUCGAUUCCCAUUACCCGCU